This 550-nucleotide ribosomal RNA is filed under the name uncultured bacterium. RNAcentral's name for it is "partial 16S ribosomal RNA". It matches the Rfam family "Bacterial small subunit ribosomal RNA", at positions 355 to 895 of the family's 1533-position model. The record is from RNAcentral.
UGGGGAAUAUUGCACAAUGGGCGCAAGCCUGAUGCAGCCAUGCCGCGUGUGUGAAGAAGGCCUUCGGGUUGUAAAGCACUUUCAGCGAGGAGGAAGGUGGUGAGCUUAAUACGCUCAUCAAUUGACGUUACUCGCAGAAGAAGCACCGGCUAACUCCGUGCCAGCAGCCGCGGUAAUACGGAGGGUGCAAGCGUUAAUCGGAAUUACUGGGCGUAAAGCGCACGCAGGCGGUUUGUUAAGUCAGAUGUGAAAUCCCCGGGCUCAACCUGGGAACUGCAUUUGAAACUGGCAAGCUAGAGUCUCGUAGAGGGGGUAGAAUUCCAGGUGUAGCGGUGAAAUGCGUAGAGAUCUGGAGGAAUACCGGUGGCGAAGGCGGCCCCCUGGACGAAGACUGACGCUCAGGUGCGAAAGCGUGGGGCAGCAAACAGGAUUAGAUACCCUGGUAGUCCAGCGCUGUAAACGAUGUCGAUUUUGGAGGUUGUGCCCUUGAGGCGUGGCUUCCGGAGCUAACGCGUUAAAUCGACCGCCUGGGGAGUACGGCCGCAAGGUU